GGAAAGCUGUUCCCCCCGCCACGCUCUUCCUCGCCCCUCUCCCUCAUCCCACCACCAGUUACCGCCCCGAUCCCAACAUUUCCCAUUCCUGAAGUGGACACAUAAGUGCAAGGAAGGAUUGGACAAAUACCAUCGGCAGCGGCAAGCAAGCUGUUCCGUGCCAGAGCGUCCUGAAGGGAGACACGACUGAAGAACCCCAACUCUCUCAGCCUGUCCUCAUACAGGAGGUGCUCCAGCCCUUGGAUCAUCUCUGUGGCCUCCUCUGGACUCACUUCAACAGCUCCAUGUCCUUCCCGUGCCAAGGACACCAGAACUGAACGUGUGGCUCCAGGUGUAGGAUAAACCUUGAGACGUUCAGUGGCACCCUAAGCUGUAAAGGCUGAAUUAAUGUCUCAUGGAUUUGGACCACCCACAGAGGAACUUGGAAACAGGUUGAAAAAGCCUUGGCAGCCAUGUACUCACUCCACGGCCAAAGUGCCAAACAAGUACACACCUAAAAGUUUGUGUCAUACUCAGAGGUGAUAAAUCAGUCCUUGGAACUAAGAGGAAUUUGUUUCUGUGCUCAGGCUUAGAGAGCUCUUAGAGAGCUCCCAUGGGAGGCCAACAGCAUCCCGUGGAGGUGAGUGAUCACGGAGCGAUGGCUCCGUGCCUCUGAUGCUGCCAUAGGACGCAGAAGAAAAUACUCAGCGGGGCAAAGAGAGGAGGACAAAUCGAACCUGCCUAUUGCACAGAGUUGGCUCAUCUAUAGGUUUUUAAAACUUGGGCCUCAGGCACUCCCCUUUCUCUUUCCUCUCUGGAUGGGGCUGCUGUGCUCUCCUCUUUAUCACCACUCUCAUUGCUUUUUAUUGCCAUGUUACCGCUCAGGGCCCCCAAGGGACAGAUGAGGCCCCAGGACGAGCGGAGGGGAAGCCGGGCAGUGACACAACUGCACAGCCAGUGCCACAGCGUGCACCACCCCGGCCACCCCCAGGCUGCAGCAAAACCUGAGCACAACCGCCCUCCCUGGAACGCUCCCUGCCCUGUGGGGCGAGGAGCUGGGAGAGGGGAGCCCCGGCGGCGCCAGGGCCAGAGCGGGCGAUGGCCAAGAGUGGCUCUGGGCAGGUGACUCUGUGCCUAACAAUUGGGAGUUGUUCUACACGAAAAACCAUGAGCUUGUGCUGAAACAGCCCCAAGCCAGUGAUGUAAUUCACUCGCCCCGUCAGGGCUGAGCAGCAAGCUGUGGGGCACGGAACGGGGCUGCGUGCAUGGUCUUGAACAAACACCAGAGCAACACCACCACCCAAACUACCUGCGUCUUCUCCAGGGGCACUGGCAGGUAAUUCCCCCCUGGAACAGGUUCCAGGGCAAACCCCGUGCUUCCCAACAGAAUUGCUGGCAGGGUGCGGCAGGGGAAGCUUGCACAGAUGUUCCCUUUCUGGGCAGAGAAGCAGCACGUUCAUCUUCUCCAGCACCAUUGCUGCCCCCUUCCCUAAUUCACCCUGAGAAAGUAAAUCAAACCGAACCCUGUUCAAGGGCUUUCCAGGAUCUUUCGUUCACAGGAGGGCAGCACUUGCAGACACACUGCCAGAUUCUAAGACAUAAAGCACUAAUAGUUUCCAGUGAAAAUUCCACUAAUGGAAGUGAAGGAGGCUCCGGUAGUUAAAGUAUGGUAAGCACGCUCUGGUAAAAGCACAGCACCGAGGACCAGCGGUACAGAAGGUCUCCCUCAGGGGAGCAGACAGAAGACAACACAGAGGAUGAACACUGCCUUUCCCCAUGCACGGACCCAGGAGAAA
Cuculus canorus (common cuckoo) is the source of this 1775-nucleotide long non-coding RNA. RefSeq lists it as uncharacterized. Lineage: Eukaryota; Metazoa; Chordata; Aves; Cuculiformes; Cuculidae. The transcript is spliced from 3 exons. The record is from RefSeq and is a predicted model, not a curated record.